GAUGAACGCUGGCGGCGUGCCUAAUACAUGCAAGUCGAGCGAACAGACGAGGAGCUUGCUCCUCUGAUGUUAGCGGCGGACGGGUGAGUAACACGUGGAUAACCUACCUCUAAGACUGGGAUAACUUCGGGAAACCGGAGCUAAUACCGGAUAACAUGUUGAACCGCAUGGUUCAACAGUGAAAGGCGGUUUUGCUGUCACUUAUAGAUGGAUCCGCGCCGCAUUAGCUAGUUGGUAAGGUAACGGCUUACCAAGGCAACGAUGCGUAGCCGACCUGAGAGGGUGAUCAGCCACACUGGAACUGAGACACGGUCCAGACUCCUACGGGAGGCAGCAGUAGGGAAUCUUCCGCAAUGGGCGAAAGCCUGACGGAGCAACGCCGCGUGAGUGAAGAAGGUCUUCGGAUCGUAAAACUCUGUUAUUAGGGAAGAACAAAUGUGUAAGUAACUAUGCACGUCUUGACGGUACCUAAUCAGAAAGCCACGGCUAACUACGUG
This 497-nucleotide ribosomal RNA is filed under the name uncultured bacterium. RNAcentral describes it as "partial 16S ribosomal RNA". It matches the Rfam family "Bacterial small subunit ribosomal RNA", at positions 28 to 507 of the family's 1533-position model. The record is from RNAcentral.